UUAGGGAAUGAAGUGGGAUAACUGAAACAGAAGAGUUCAUUCAAGUUGUUGAAAGCUGACUUCUCAUUCUGUCCUGACAGAGGAAAGGGACUGCCAUCUCAUUAUUUCCAGGUGCAACCUGAUUUCUUUACAAGCAAGCAUCAGCAGUUUCAGCAGACUGUUUCAAAUUUGUGAACUCUAGCAAAGCUCUGGUUCUGAAUCUAUUCAAUGUGAUCAUCCUUAUUCCUUCUUUCUCAUGUUCAGGCAGGGUAGAAUUACAAUCCCGAAUACACCAAAGUCCUAGAAUUAAAACGAUCUCAUUUCUCUUGUGUGGAAAAAAAUAAGGUUCAGUUUCACAUUUUAAAUAAAGUCUCUACUGUCAUUUUAAGGUAAAAAAAAUCUCUCUUCAUUGAGUAAGAGGUAAACAUGACACCUCUAUAAUACAAGUUACAUUUCCUUUCCGAAAAAAAUGCUGCAGAAUCACAUCGUCUUUCACAUUGAAAAGCAUUUUCAAUGGCUUUCCUGCAGUUGAUGUAGGACUGAGCAGGUUGUUGGUCCUGCUUGUCACCCACUCAGCUCUCUGAGAGCUCACAUUCACAAAGCCCUCAAAGCCUGGCUACACCUUCUAAAGGCGUACUUGUGUACUUCACAUCCAAAAAACAUUAACCUUCUCAUACUAAAGGUAAAAUGCUUAGGUAAUUUACAUUACUUAUGAAUAGAAAGUUUUAUGGUGGCAUGCAUUAGCACUGUGCAAAUGUUUGUAUCACUGUUUCAUACUGAGAGCCGUUAAACCCUUUUUAGAAUUAAUCUCACAUCUAUUGAGUCAAUUGUGGUGGUACUUAAAUAUUUUUCCUGUACUGGAUUCAACUUGAAGCUCCCAUUGUUUCCAAUAUCACACCCUAAAGACUUGAGAAAAGAAAUUAGAAAAAAAGUAAACAAAAAAUAGAAUCAGUUUCAACAAUUAGAUAUAUAUGGUUGAUGAAAAAUAUAUAAUUGCAGCACUGCAAAGACUGAAGCUAAAGUACACAUUUUAUAUAUCAAAGACAUUGAAUGGUGUGCAUUAUAAAAUCCUUACCUUUGAAAGAAAAAUCACGUAAUUUCCAUUUAAACUUGAAGCACUGGUAUUCAAUGAAGUUAUAUUACAAAUGAGAUUAUAGCAUUAUUCACAUAAACUUAUUUUAUCCCAAAGUCCUCUGUUCUUUUAUCAUUUUGUAACCCCCACAAUGCCUGAGACAUAGUAAGUGUUCAAAUACACACACAUAUAUAUACAUACCUAAAUUAAGAAUAAAAUAAUUUGCACUAUUUCAUGGAAAUACACAUAGGGGAUUAUACUCAGACUUUUGCUUUAUCAACAAACCAAUAUGUGAUUUGCAAUACAUCCCUUUUAAUCAAUCUUAAAGUAAAAAAUGGCAACAUUUUUCAUCUUAGUGAGAGUAUGUUAUGACUGAUGAAUAGAAACAUUCCUAUUGUCUUAGCAGGUCUAGUCCUACACAAAAUAAAAAUAUUUGUAUCAGACUUGUAGAGAUUGAUAUAAUACAUUGAAAUAUUCCAAAUUUGUUAGCUCUCACCCUAUACAUAAAAAAACCCUCUUUAUAACAAAAGAUUCAUUCAAAAGAAAAGAAAAUGCAUUAACUAUGUGCACGAUUUGGGUUUAUGUACAGUUAUAUUGCCAAGUAUAAAAUAAUAGCAUGCUAUUUUCCUUAAGUAAGGGGUCCAUUAUUUGGACACUUUUUAUUUUUUUUAAAAAGGAGCAGACCAUAUACCCAGCAAGUACAUGUGUGCACAAAUACACAAUUAAAAGAAAUUCAGGGACUUCCCCCCACCCCCAGGAGGUUGUUUUCCCUAUUCCCACCAUGAAAAUGUGAUGGAACUUUAAUGCUAGGAUUUUGGCAGAAUCAAGUAUAUGGAUCUAUCUUCCCUGGAGAUGUGAAACAGUAUAUAUCACUGAUCACCAAUGUAAAUUAAUUGGAAAUAAAUGGAUCUACCCCAAAAGAACUUCACAUAAUUCUAACUCUUUGGAAUCUUCUUUCAUUUAGUGAAAGGAACAAUUGUAAAAUUCCUUAGACCCUGUUAUCUGUAACUAAGCCCAACAUUCAGGACUUUAAUUAGAAGUUGGAAGGUAGGAUGUGGAAGUCGUAAUAGAUACUGUUGUGGAAAUUUCUGGUUCUGGGUCUUCAUCGUUUUUUGUGGAGAUAGGAGAAAAAUUAUUUACUUGAAUAUGCAAAUUUAUUUUCCAUUCAAGCCCUGACUUGAAUGGUUAUAAAAUCAGAGUGGUUAUAAAAUCCAGGAGUGGCACUGGUGUUGUAGUACCAGUUUUUGUGUUUUUUUUUAUUUUCCUUAAAGUUCUUUCUCUUUACUUUUAUCCUUACCUUACCUGUGGCAGGCUUCGAAGAGUCUUGUCACUUGCACUGUGUCUGGGGCUACUCUUCAGAAGCAGCUGUUAGCCCUAUGACCUGCAGGUGAUGGUGCCGGGCUCAAAACUCUGGGUUGCACUAUUAGAUUUGUCAUUCAUUCACUGUGUUCUCUCAAACAAGUUGCUUUCUCUGCCAGUCCUUUGUCUCCUCAUUUCUGAAAUAAACUAUUUGGACUAAAUGAAGUCCAGGAUUCACUUGAGCAUUAUAUAGGUUGCAUGUGGUCUCACAUUUCCUCCUGAUCAGAACAUCCAAGACAUUGUAGUUUAUAAUUUGGCUUCUGUUCGUGGCAUUUCCCCAUUCACACACACUGAAAUACCUCAAAUGCAGGUGGCAGCAGAGAUGGGAACGUGCGCUUCAGAAACUCCAGUGUUGUCUUUCUAGUAUGGUAGCUUCCAGACACAAGCUGGUUAUUUUGCAAUUUAGUGCAACUGAGGUAGUGAAUUUUAAAUUUUGUUUAAUUUUAAUGAUUUCAGUUCAUUUGUUGGACAAAAUUAAGCAUCUUCAGAGCAACUUGGAUAUCCAGUUUACCUUUAUGAACUUUGAAUUUUAUGAAAUGUAAAUAUAGAUCAAGUAUAUAGACAGACAUGUAGCAUUCAUACUGAAAUUUUCUGUGAGUCUAACAUAAACACCAGAUUUUGAUGACUCAGAAUAAAAAAGAAGGUAAACUAUCUCAUUAAUAUUUUUUAUAUUG
Non-coding RNA from Manis javanica (Malayan pangolin), 3084 nucleotides. The record is from RefSeq and is a predicted model, not a curated record. Lineage: Eukaryota; Metazoa; Chordata; Mammalia; Pholidota; Manidae.